CCAUAUGCUCAUACCAAUUCCAAACUCCACAAAUUGAAAUACACAACACUCAAGAUAGAAGUUAAGGGUUGUAACGGGGCUUGGGGUAUUGGCUAACAAAGAAAGGUGAAGGGUAAACAAACGUUCUUAAAACAAUAGUAAUCAAAGCAAUGAAAUUGACUCUUCGAAUUCACUUUUGAAUGCAAAAAUCAACUUUUAAACUCAAAGGGGAAAUUCAUGCAACACUUGGGGUCAAAUUCAAUGUUUUGGACCCCUUCUUCAACAACCAACACCUUAGAGCUCAUUUCCAUGCUCUUUCAACUCUUUUUCACACUUUUCUCAACAUUUUUCUUUUUUUUCUUCUUUUUUCUACGAAUUUUCUUUCUUUUUUUUCUUUUUUUUUCUCGUGCCUCAAAAUAGACUUUGGCACAUCCACCUAUCAAAAAUCCUUCCCCCACACUUGUUUUCUGCACACCCUCAAUCAAAAGGAAUUCAUUUUAAGUCAUGCUUACUAUGCUUCAAGAACAAGGGUAUGGAUGGUCCUAAUCUAGGCUAGGUAAGGAUAAUGUGGGUUAACAAACAAUAUAGGCUAAACAAGGCUCAACGGGUUUAAACCUACAAAAACAAAUGUAUGGAAUGAAGGCUUUUUGGCUAUGGUGGUAACUACUAAACAACUUUAUCUUGAAUAUGUGUUAUGCAAUUCAAUAACAUGUUUUGAAUGAAAUUGGCAUGAGUUCUAGCAUUUGGAACUAAAUGAUGAAACGCCUUCUAAGUAGUAACCAAGCAAAGAAUAAUGAGAUCAUGCAACGACUUUAGAAAACAAGAAUGCACAUAUUUUAACUCUCCAAAUAAAGUUUAGGCUGAAGUCUCUCAGGGUUGUAGCUUUAGUUUGAGUUUCUUCCUUCAAGCAUGUCACAAAAACUGAUUUUUUUCCUUUUUGAUUACAUGUGAAUUCAUAAGUUAUAACUACAACUAAGCAUAAACCAAGAGUAAAUCAAACUUCCAUCCAUGUUUAUAACUCUCUUCAAUAGUCAUUCAAUUAAAAACCGAAUCCUCAUCAUUGUGUUGGAAGGUACCCUAAGACACAAACAAACACACAAAAACAACUUAAAAACGACUCUUUUUGGGUUUUUUAAAAACAAAUUUUCAAAUUUUUAUGGGAUUUUCGGAUUUUUGAAUCAAAACACAUUAAAACACACCAAAACAGCCUAAAAACACCUAAAAACAGCAAGAAACAACAUUGGAAAUUAUGAGUGAGAAAACCCUACGAAUUUGCAUCAAAACACUUUGGUUACCCCCCCACACUUAAACCAAACAUUGUCCUCAAUGUUUCAAGCAUAGACUCACACAAAAACACAUAAACAAACAAACCAACACUAACAAACUAAACAUGGCAGAAACGAAAGAAACAACAAAGAGAAGGGUUUAGAAACGCAAAUCUGGAAUUGGAGUGCUCUCUAGGUCUUCCUUUGUCAAAUGCAUGGGUUGCCUCCCAUGAAGCGCUUGCUUUAACGUCUUCCAGCCGGACGGUACCUCCAUUUAAGAUUGACUAGGUUCCAUGGCAUGGAGGGGUACAUCUUCCAUGACAUGCUCCUUGAAAUACUCAUGCAUUGGGUCUAUGUAUGGCAGUGGAUAAUGAUGGUCCCAGAUUGUGGCAUUGAGCUUCCCAAGGUCAAAGUAAGAACUCCCAUAAUCAUGGAUUCGAUUUGGUACCUGCACCACAGAAGGCAAUAACCUAUUAGUGGAAACGGGAAUUGGAAUUAGAGGAUGAGGCUUACCAAUGCAUGUAGAUGCAGACUCAAAAGGGACAGCAAAGGUGGUGCUCUCAGCCAGAUUUGGUAUUUUGGGUGUAAUGACAUGUUUCGUAUGCUCCACUCCAAUACCCUCUUUGGUGAUGCAUCUAGGGACAUCCUUCUUGAUUGGUGCGCAUGAAUGUUCCUUCCCCACAUUUUUAAUCACAUCUAUUGCAAAACAAGAACGAACAUCAUUAGGAUUCUUAACAUAUUCAGGAACUUUGAAUUUAAUCAAUUCAUCACCAAACUCCAUUGUUAACUCUCCCUUAGCCACAUCAAUCUUGGUUUGGGCUGUCUUCAUGAAGGGCCUCCCUAAUAGUAUCGGCAAUGGGGUAGAAUAGGGUGAAUCCUCCAUGUCAAGCACGUAAAAGUCCGCUGGAAAAAUCAAAUUGCCCACCUGCACCAAAACAUCUUCCAAAACACCCUUUGGAUAUGCAUUAGAACGAUCGACUAAUUGAAUAAUCACACCAUCGUUUUUAAGCUCACCUAAGUUCAUAGAUGCAUAAAUAGAGUAUGGCAUAACAUUAAUCGAAGCCCCUAAGUCUAACAUGCAUUGUUCAAACUUAGUCUUGCCAAUAACGCACGGAAUUGUAAAACUACCCGGAUCUUUGCAUUUAGGGGGUAAUUUCCUUUGUAACAUGGCAGAAACAUUCUCACUUACUUGGACCACCUCUUUGUUCGAAAUCCUUCUCCUUGAUGUACAAAGUUCUUUUAAAAACUUAGCAUACCUCGGGACUUGCUUAAUUGCAUCAAGGAGCGGAAUAUUGACUUGAACUUUUUGAAAGGUCUCUAGAAUGUCCUUCUCGGCUUCUUCCUUCUUUGAUUGCCUAAACCUGCCAGGAAAGGGCACAUUUAGUGGAAUGGAACUAGAAAAAGUCGAAUUUGGACUUACCUUGGUGGUUUGGGACGGCUUAGGAGGGCUAGAUGGUGGCGGCAAGGAUUGUUCAUCCUUGGCCGUGAGUUUUGGUCCCUGUGCUUCCUCUUGUAGCAAAUUUUCAUCCUCAUCGUGACUUGAUUUGGAUGAUUUUGGUUCGGCUCCAACCUGUGUACCACUUCUCAACAUGAUUGCACUGACGGUUUCAAAGCCUCCUUUAGGAUUCAUAAUAGUUGAACUAGGCAAUUUGCCUUGUUCUCUAAUCUGCCCCAUGAAUUCCGCUAUUUGCCCCACUUGCUUUUCCAAGUUAUCCACCCUUUUGUCUUGGAUUUGCCUCUCUUUGUUUUGAUUUUGUACUUCCUGCGUCAAAGUAGUAAGUAACUUAACAAUCUGAUCAUUAUCCAAAGACAUACCUGAGUUUGUUGGGGCAGAUUGCAAUUGGGUUUGAUUGGGGACGGAUGGCUUUGUAUAAAAGCCCGGUGGUUGCUGCCUAAAUCCUCCUUGUUGUUGGGGUUGUUGAGGAUCCCUCCACUUGAAAUUUGGAUGGUCCCUCCACCCUGGAUUGUAGGUGUUUGAGUAUGGAUCAUGGCGUGGUUGAUUUUGGCUCCCAAAACCCACGGCAUUGGCAGAUUCCCAACCCCCAUUCUCAAUCAAUUUAGGGCAUUGAUCGUUGGCAUGUCCUUGCAUAGAGCACACACCACACACACUUGGUCCAUGAAUCUUCAUUCCCUCGGCCAACUGAGAAACAAUAGAAGUAAGGUUAGCUAAUUGGGAUUGAAUUUCGGGCAUAGAACUUACCUCAUUCACUUGUGGCCGUGGGGGGUCUCUUUGUCCAACACCUUCGUAUUGUUGUGCAUUAUGUGCUCGGUUGGCAAUUAGAACUUUUGCAGCCCCCGGAGUUUUAUCCACCAACGCACCUCCCGCCAAGGCAUCAAGCAUUUGGUGUUCCAUGGGAAGGAGUCCUUCGUAGAAGUAUUGAAUGAGUAGCUCCUCCUUCAUUUGAUGCUGUGGACAAGAAGCAACAAGUGAUUUAAAACGUUCAUAAUAAGAAGGAAACGAUUCACCUUGAUUUUGUUGGAUGCCACUAAUCCGUUUCCUCAAGAGAAUGACUCUUGAAGUUGGGAAAAACUUCUCCAAGAAAGCUCUUUUCAUACUAUCCCAAGAUGUAACCGUUCCGGGUGCUAACUCGUAAAGCCAAUCCUUCGUCUUUUCCAAAAGUGAGAAUGGAAAAGCCUUCAUCAUCAGAAUGUUCCCGUCGACAUUUCUGGGUGUCAUGCUCGAACAAACAACCUCGAACUCCUUGAGAUGCUUGUUGGGAUCUUCCAUGGAAAGCCCAUGGUAUUUCGGAAUGUGGUGCAACAAGCUUGACUUCAACUCGAAUUCAUCGGUCUUGCCUUGGGCAGCCGCGGGGUAUUGAAUGCAUAAUGGUGCGGCAUUGGUCAACCCCGAGGCCGAAAGCUCUUUAAUGGUCCGAUUGUCCACUGCCAUAACUUCUUCUUCCACUUCUUCAAACUCAGAUUCGGCCUCUGAACUUGAACUAGGUUCACUAGGUUCGGGAUGCCUCCUCUUUCUUCUCAAAUCACGUUCAAAAUCGUCGUUGAAAUCCAAGAUGUGUGCAUGCACAGUUUGAGAACUCCGCGUCAUGCACUAGUACCUAAACCAAGAAAACAAAACAAAAUAGGAAAACUAGGUAAAUUAUACUAAAGACACACGGCAAAACACAAGGGAUUAGCAAUUUUGCUAAUCCCCGGCAACGGCGCCAAAAUUUGAUGUGAUAAUUAACUAGCACUCAAAUUAACCCUCUUUUUAUCAAUUGUAGUAAGUAUGUAAGUAGGGAUCGUUCUAGGCCGGGGAUUAGGAGGGAUUGCUAAAUCACUUGAAAACUGACUCAAAAACGUAAAAACAAAGUUUAAAACACUUAAAUCAACCAAAAACUCAAAACAGCAACUAAAAGACUCAAAACUGCCUUAAAACCACUUUCUGGGCAGUUUUGAGUACCUAACACUAAUUUGGACGAAAUUGGACUGUAACUUGACUCAAAGCACUUAAAAACACAAACUAAAUUGAUUUCUAACUAAUCUAACACUUUAAAAUAAAUGGGGGAUUGAUUUUGACGAAAAUUGAAACUUGAAAACUUAAACUUUGAAAACAAACUUAAAGCAAAACAGAUUGUGAUGAAAUAGAAUGGUGAGAAACUAGUUAGAGGAUUCCUUAUCCACACAUGAACAUAUGCAUACAACUCGAUUUCCAAUUACUCUUUCAACAAACCAUGAAUGAGAAUGCCCCAAAUUAACUAGAUUGCACCAAUUAAUUCUCAGAUUUCCCUAGAUUCAUUGAAUUGAAUGGAAUACGCAUUACAACCAAAUUAUUCUUAUCAAGGACCCUAACUAUGGAAUACGCAUGAUAGAGACACAUAUCAAAGAUCAUUAAGUUCAAUGGAAAUUAUAAACAUUGACGAGGCAUUCAUAACUAUGGGAUACGCAUGUUACUCUUGCCUAGGAUUUACUUAACGCAAUCGUGACUAGCGACUUUUACUACUUAUGAAUAUAAGUUAAUAACGAUUAGGUGAAAUUCCCUUAUAUCCUAGCAUCAAGUUUAUGCAUGCAAAUUAAGUGUCGACCCUCAACCCACAUACAUAAACAAGUUAUCAAUCAAAUAGAUAAGUAAACCACAUUCACGAUUUAUGAAAUCAUAAUUGGAAGAAAUCAAAUCAUAUAAAACAUAUGUCCAUGGCUUCAAAUUCGCCUCUAACUAAAAAGGAAUUAGUUCCACAUGUUUAACAUAAUUGAAAAGCAAUUUAAAUUAAACAUGAAAACAGAAACAAGAGAAGAAAAAACUCUUAAAACUCCCAAAGAUGCAGAUGACUUGCGCACAAGGCCCUCAUUCAUCAAUGGAAUGCACGACAAGGCUCUCCUUCUUCUCCAAAAGGUGCGGCAGAGAUGUGUAUGGAUGUAGGAUGGGGUUUUGUGAUGUAGAAUGGUGAUUAGGGUUGCGGCAAGGUGUGUUUGAAUGGUGUGAAGGGGUGGUGACGAAUUUAGGCUUAAAAACACAUAUAUAUAGGCACCACAAACCCUAAAGAAAUCAGGUUAGACAAUGGGCUAGGGUUUAGGUGCGGCUAGGGUUAGAGAUGGGCCUUCUAGAAUGCCUUGCAAGGCAAGGAAAUAGGUGUUCUAGAAGGCUAGGUGCGGCUGAUUAGUGGGCUAGGGUUAGGGUUUGUAGAUAGGGCUUCUAGAAAGCCCAAAACCAAGAAUAGAAACUCUCGAAAAUGGAAACCUCUAAGAAUAGAAACUUCCAACUUUAGAAACUUUGGUUGCCAAUUCCGACUUCUUUGUUCUUCACUUUCAUUUCUUCAUUUCUUAAGCUCCUUUGACCUUCAAACUCGUCCAUUCCUUGUGCUCCAUAGGCAUACACUCCAUUCCAGCUCAAUUUUGCUCUCAAAUGCUCCAAAUUGCAUCAUUUUAUGUAAUAUACUCUUAAAACCUGAAAACACAUGAAACUAACUUAAAAGACUACUUUAAACUAAGAAAACAUAACUAAAAUGCAUAAGAACUAGCUAACUAAGGCGCAUAAAUAUGCUCGUAUCAAGUGGACAUCAUAUGCUUGGAGCCAAGAAGAUGGACGAAAUUGAAGAUUUGAAGAUGAUGUUUCCUACUUGAACAAGGUUUCCUUGUUGAAGUAGGAAAGUCCCUAAUUGAAGAUGGAAUCCUAGUUGAAAUAGGUUUCCUAGUGGAAUUGGGAUUCCUAGAAGAUGAAGAUUCCUACUCAAACAAGGUUUCCUACUUGAAGUAGGAAAGUUAAAUCCAAAUGGCAUCAAGUUUCAGCAACAAAGAAGUUUUCCAAGUCCAAGAAGGAAAAGGAAUCCAAGAUGAUGAAGGAUUGACAAAGACAAACUUUCCUAAUCCUAAUGUACAAAGAUUUCAGCUCCAAAGAGGAGUCCUAAACACUUUAGGACACCUUAUCUCUUCAUAAUCAGCCUUAUCCCUUAGUGCCGCACCAUACCCUUCUAGAAAUCUGAUUUCCUUGCCUUGCAAGGCUUUCUAGAAGCCUUAUCCACCCUAUCCCUUACCUGCUGCACCUAGGAUGCCUUUUCCCAUUCAAAAUCUGAUUGUUUUAAGCCUUUUCCUGAUGGGUUUUAAUUAUACAAGUCCAUAUCUGAUUCCCUUAGGGUUUUAAGUGCCUAUAUAUACUCAUAUUAACCCUUUGGCUGAAUGACCACCUCUCAUACACAUCAAUUCACGCCAAAAAUCAUCCCUUGCUCUUUGCCGCACCCUUCCACCACCAUAUUCCAUAAUUUCUGCUCAAAAUCAUCCCUAGCCACACCACCCAUCAACCCUUGACACCACCACACAUCCCCCAUCCAUUCUACACCAUUCAUAACCCCAAAACCUAUCCACAACUUUUGUGCCGCAGCAAGGAGAAAGGAAGGAACUUCGUGGAUGCACUUGCUGUCCAAGUUUGAGUAUCUAGGUGUUUUCUUUCUUUGGAAUUCAAUGUUUAAACUUAUUUAUCUUUGCUUUGUGCAUAUGAGGAACUAAACCCCCCUUGGCUAGGGGGGAUUCGAAACCAUGUUUAUGCUUGCUAUAUGAUUUGAUUACUUCUAAUUGCGUUUCAUAAGUUGUGAAUUCAAUUUACUUAUCUAUAUGAAUUUGAUGCUAGGAUAUAAGGGAAUUUCAAUUAAUUGUUAUGAACUUAUAUUCACAAGUAGUAAAGGUUGUUGAUCACAAUCACGUUAAGUAAAUUCUUGGCAUAAGUAUCAUGCGCUUUCAUAGUGCCUCGUCAAUGCUUAUGAUUUUCAUAGAACUUAAUGAUCCUUGCUUGAAUCUCUAUUAUGCGCUUUCAUGUAGGGAACUUGUGGGGAAUGCUUUGGGUUGUCGUAUGCAAUUCAUCCAAUUCAAUAACUUAAGGAAAAUCUAAGAGUUAAUUUAAGCGGACCUAAUUAACUUAGGGCGUUGAGAAUUCAUGGUUUAUUGAGAAGCAAUUGGAAAUCGUUCUGUAUGCAAGUGUGACAUGUGUGGAGAAGAACCCCUUAGCUAGCCUUCCAUCCAUUCACUUUAACCAAUUUCAUUUUAAAAUCUGUUUAGUUUAGUUUACUUGUUUUGUUUUUAAAUUCGUCCAAAAUCAAUCCCCCUUUACUUUGUUGAGUCAUAUUAGUUAGAAAUCAAUUUAGUUUGUGUUUUUAAGUGUCUUGAGUCAAGUUAUAACCAAUUUUCGUCCAAAUUCUUCCUUGGUGUCAGAAACUGCCCAGAAAGUGUUUUUAAGGCAGUUUUGAGUGUUUGUUUGCUGUUUUGAGUAUUUUGGUUUAUUUUGGUGUUUUAAAGUUUAGUUUUGCAUUCUUUGAGUCUAGUUUAGUGUUUUAAACUUGUUUUUACGUAUUUGAGUCAGUUUUCAAGUGAUUUAGCAAUCCCUCUUAAUCCCCGGCCUAGAACGAUCCCUACUUACAUACUUUGCUACAAUUGAUAAAAAGAGGGUUAAUUUGAGUGCUAGUUAAUAUCAUAUCAUUAAUUUCGUAUUUCUUGAGCUCAACAACCAUGUACUUUGGCACCUAUAGAAGCUGAAAAUAGAUAGAUUUAGAAUUCAGAAGAAGCAACCAUAAUACCACCAUCUGCCAUUUCUUCACUGGGAAAAUUGCCUCAAAGAAGGAGUACCCCUAGACUUUUGAACCCACCAAUAUCUUCAAUGCCCUAGUGGCAUGGGUCAAUCUAUUUUCGGAAAGUGAGAGGAAUGCAACGGUGUCAACAAAAAAUCUCAAUAUGUAUUUGUCCCUCAAGAUUAUUUGCAGUUAGUCGAAGUGCUUUGAAGGUUUGCAUGAGUAAAGGUUUAUUGGCAAGAGACCAUAGAAAUGAUUAUUCAUAAAAUCGAGUUUACUCUAUUGAGUAAGUUCAGAGAAAUCAAUGGCUGAGAUGUUACCUGGCCUGUAGGUGUGUGCAGGUAGAAUUAGUUGAAUAUGCAUUUAAAUUUUUUGUAUAAUUCAAUGAAUAAAUGUAAAGACAUGCAUGUAGAAUUGGUUGAAUAACAGUAACAAUGACCACACUUAAUAUUGAUGCCUACGCCUUUGAAUUAUGCUUUGGAAAAAUCUGAGUUUGAAUAAAAAUAAUGUAGCGAAUCUGUUAGUAAUUACGAUUUGGAUUUGAAAUGAAAAAACUUGUCUAUGUCGAUUCAUCCCUUGGUGGAUAUAAAACUUCAAAAUCAUCAUUCAUCGGUCAAAAGAGUAUGUUCAUCUCUAUGAGAGUGUUUAGAGUUUUAGCUAGAAUGAUGUUGGAUAAGUUGCAUAAUGGUUGGGUUUGAUGUGCAUGGUAAUGUUGGAUUACUAGGUGUGGAUUUAUUGAUAAAUUUUUAAUUUUGUUGUUAAUUUCACAUUGUACUUGAUGGUAAUUAUGCACUAGAAAAAAGAAGAUAAUUCACAUUUGAAGUUAGCUUAUAUGAGUUCAAAUAAAAUUUUCCAAACUCAUUUCUCAUUCUUCUUCCUCUUGUAUUCUUCGAUAGAAAGUGAUAGGAGCAUAUUUAUGUGACUUAGUUAGCUUAUUUUCUUGCAUUUUCAUAGCUAGUUUUUACUUAUUAUAGUGUUUUAAGCUAUUUUCGUGUGUUUGUAGGUCCAAAUGACAAAGUUGGCAAAAAAAUGCAUUUUGGAGCAUUUUAGAGCAGUUUUGGGCUGGAAUGGAUAGCUUACAUAUGGAGCACUAGGAAUGGACGAAUCUGAAGUUCAAGAGAGGUUAGGAAUGUGCUAAAGAGUUGAAGAAAUUAAUUCAAGAUAUUGAAGAUAAGGAAUCAGCUCAAAAGAAGAAGAUAUUAUCCAAAAUGCCUUAUCUAUCCAAAACCUUAUCCAACCUUAUCUCAUCAAAACUAACAUUAUCUUAUCUUAUCCUAUCCUAAUCCUAUCCUACCUUAAUUCCAGCUACAAGGGGGACUCCUUAUCACAUUAGAAUACCUAAUAUCUGAUUCCAGAAGCCCUGAAACAAUGCAAGUAACCUGAUCCUUUUUCCCCUAGAAAUCUGACAAAUUUAAUCCCUUUCUAGAAGCUUUGUGUUGAAUUUCCUGGUCCUAUUCCUCUAGGAUUAUGUAAUCCUUCUCCUCCACUACAUUGCGCAAAACCCUAGCCUAUAAAAACAUAUUUUCUGCCACAAUUCAAACGACCACCCUCUGCCAUCAGAUCAGAACACCAUCCACAACAAAUUCAUCCCAUUGUGCUACAGCUAUGCAAGGAAGAAGAAGAAGGAGCCACCUGGAGCCGUGCUUGCCAUUCAACAUUGGAUUGCUGGAGCGUUCUUAGGUGUUUUCUAUCUUUUAUUUUCAAUGUCUAAUUUAAGUUAUCUUUGUUUAAUUGCGAACAUGAGGAACUAAUUUCUAUUUAGUUAGAGGUGAAUUCGAAGCCAUGAUUAUAUGCUUUAUAUGAAUUGAUUACAUCCAAUUAUUGUUUCUUGAGUCUUGAAUGUGAUUUGCUUAUCUGAGUUAUUAAAACUUGUUUACGUAUGUUGAUUGAGGAUGCAUACUUAGUUUGCAUGCAUAAACUUGAUGCUAGAGUAUAAGGGAGUUUCACCUAAUUGUUAUGAACUUAUAUUCACAAGUAGUGGAAGUCACUAGUCAUCAUUGUGUUAAGUAAAUCCUUGGCAGGAGUAUCAUGCUUUUCAAAGUUACGAAUGCCUCGUCAAUGCUUAUGGGUUUCAAAGAACUUAAUGACCUUUGAUAUGUUUUCUAUCAUGCUUUUCAUAGUUAGGGGACUUGAGAAGGAUAAUUUGGUUUUGAUAGGUAUCCCAUCCAAUUCAAUGAAAUAAGGAAAAUUUGAUGGUUAAUUUGUGCUAUCACGGCUAACUUGGGGUGUUGUCAUUCAUGGUUUAAAGGAAUAAUAACUGGAAAUUGGUUUGUACGCAUAUAUCAUGUGUGGAGAAGGACCUUUUAACUAGCUUUUCACCCUUUUCAAUUCAUCAAAUUCGUUUUCUUAAAGUGUUUUAUGCAAAGUUUCUGUUUUAAGUUUUAAAUUCAUCAAAAAAAAAAAAAUCGCCCAUUCAUUAAGUCUUGUUAGUUGAGUCAUAAUCUGUUUUCUUUUAGUCUUUUAAGUCAAGUUAAGUCUUAUUUUCGUCAAACUCACUUGUUAUGUCUAGAAUUGAGUCUUUUUUAUUGUUUGUUGCUGUUUUGAGUGUUUUGAGUCAGUUUUGAGUCUAUAGAGUCUAGUUGAGUGUUUCUAAGUCUAGUUUGGUAUUUUUGAGUGAAAUUUGAGUAGAUUAGUAGCCCUUCUAAUCCCUGGCCUAAAACGAUCCCUACUUUCAUAUACUACAAUCAUAGGGUUUUUAUGUGAGUGUUUGAAUAUUUCACAUCAAAUUUUGGCGCCGUUGCUAGGGAUUAGCAAAAUUGCUAAUCUCCCUUUGUCUUCGUUCGUGUCUUUUACUUUUGAUAUUUGAUUUAGUUUUCUUUCUUUGAUUUUAGGUACUAGAGAAGCAAGACAUGGCAAUUGCUAAUCUUCAAGCUCAAAUGGCGAAUCUUACUUCUUAGUUGUCGUAGUAUAUCGAAAGGACCACAAUGAAAAGUGUCCCUACAUUUGGUGUGUCCUAUAGGCAAGGAUAUCAAACUCAUCAACAUCCUCAAUUAACUGAGAAUGAAGGUGCCUGGGGUUAUCAAAGCCAUAAUCAAUCAAGGAACAACCUAUUUUCCAACACUUACAAUUCAGAUUAGAGAGAUUAUUUUAAUUUUAUGUGGAGGGAACCUCAACAAUUUCAACAAGACGGAUAUUGGUAGCAAUCUGAGGAGUUUUAUUCAAGACCUAUGCAACCACCACAGCCUCCCCCACAACAAUUCCAAUCAAAUUCAAGUAUGUCCAUAGAUAAUGAUAAAAUUCUUGAUGUACUAACUUCUUUGACGCAUGGCUUACAAAACCAAGCUAAGGAGAUGAGCGAAUUGAAAAAUCAACUUGGAGAGAUUGCAUAAUUCAUAGGGCAAAUUCAAGAACAAAGUGAACUUUCCGACUCAACCAUUGUCAAUCCAACGGGAGACUUUGAAAUCGCUGAAACUAUCACCUUGGGAAGUAGUAUAGAGGUUGGAGCUAACCUAAAAACGUCCAAACACAGCCAUAAUGUGGAUGACCAGCUGCUGCAAGAAGAAGAAGAGGUGGACAAGGCCACGGCAAGAGAAGAACAUCCCUUGCCGCAGCCUUCUAAGGCUCUUACACCAUCCAAUUUAGGUAAGGUUGUUCCAAAUUCAACUCUUUCUAACCCCAUUCCACCAAAUGUCCCUAUCCCUUGCAAGUUCAUGAUUUCCAAGGAAGAAGAAAGUGAAAAAGACAUCUUGGAAGCCCUUUCAAAGGUGCAAAGUAAUAUCCAAAUUCUUGGUACAACAAAUCAAGUUCCACAAUGUGUUAAAUUGUUCAAAGAACUUUGUACAACAAGAAGAAUGAUUCAAGAGAAAGAAGUGGCAGGGGAAUAUCAAGAAUUCAUGAAAGGGGAUGUACUUGAGACAACAAUUCCCAAAGAAGUUGGAUUUUAUGACACGGGACAAGUCAUAACUCUCAAAACACCCAAUCUGGCUGAAUUUUCUAGUCCUACAACCUUCGAAGGGGUGUUUAUUCUUGAGUUCAUGUCGGAGCACACAGGUAAGCGACAUCCCCGAAUUUCAAUUUUGUUUUAUACUAAUAUGUUGUUAAUGAUUCAGGCACCCACUCUAGAAUUUAAACCAUUACUGGAUCAUUUCAAGUAUCACCUCCCAUUCAAAGAUCAAUUCCAUGCCGUGGUGAUGUGAAAAUUAACUAGCACUCAAAAACGUAAAAACAAGUUUAAAACACUAAAAUAGACUCAAAGAAUGCAAAACUAAACUUUAAAACUCCAAAACAAACCAAAAGACUCAAAACAGCACCAAAACACUCAAAACUGCCUUAAAAACACAAUCUGGGCAGUUUUGGACACUAAGCACCAAAUUGGACGAAUUUGGGUUUUAACUUGAAUCAAAACACUUAAAAACACAAAGUAAAACACUUACUAACUAAUUUGACAAUUUAAAACAAAGGGGGAUUGGUUUUGGACGAAUUUAAAAACAAAACAAAACUUUGUAAAUUGACAAGACUCUAAAACGAAUUUGGUUUAAAUGGAUGGUGGAAGGCUAGCUAAGGGGUUCAUCUCCACACAUGUUAUACUUGCAUACAAAACGAUUUCCAAUUGCUUUUCAAUAAACCAUGAAUUCUCAAUGCCCCAAGUUAAUUAGGUCCGCUUACAUUAACCCUCAGAUUUUCCUAACGUUAUUGAAUUGGAUGAUUGCAUACGACAACCCAAACAUUCCCCACAAGUUCCCUACAUGAUUGCAUAAUAGAGAUACAAGCAAGAAUCAUUAAGUUCUAUGAAAACCAUAAGUAUUGACGAAGCACUUGUUACUAUGAUUGCAUGAAACUUAUGCCAAGAAUUUACUUAACGCGAUUGAGAUCAUCAACCUUUACUACUUGUGAAUAUAAGUCAAUAACGAUUAGGUGAAAUUUCCUUAUAUCCUAGCAUUCAAUUUAUGCACGAUAAUUAAGCGUGCACUCUCAACCAACACACACAAAUCAAUGUAAUUCACAUAGAUAAGUAAAUUGAAUUCACAACUUAUGAAACGCAAUUAGAAGUAAUCAAAUCAUAACACAAGCAUAAACAUGUAUUUCGAAUCCCCCCCUAGCCAAGGGGGGUUUAGUUCCUCAUACGCACAAAACAAAGAGAAUUGAAUUUAAACAUUGAAAUCAAAGGAAAAGAAACACCUAGAAAUUCCAGCGACGCGAACUUGAAUUGCAUGAACUUCCGAGCUUCCUUCUCUUCCUCCUUGGUGCGGAAAAGGACUUUUAGGGCCAGGUUGGGACUUUAGGUGUAUGGAUGCAUGGUUAUGGAUGGAUGUAGUAGUGUUUAGGGGGUGGGGAUGGUGCGGCAAGACUUAGAACUAGGGGGAAUGGUGUUUGGUGGGUGCGGCAAGAGUGAGGAGAGGGUUGGACGAAUUUCUGGAGUGAAUUGUGAAUUGUGGUGAGUGGUGUUCUGAUUUAGGGGUUAAUAGGAGUAUAUAUAGGCACUUAAAACCCUAGGGUAAUCAGAUAUGGACUUGGAUAACCCAAAUCCACAAGGAAAUAGGUCUAAACAAUCAGAAAUCCUAAGGGAUAAGGAGUAGGGGUGCGGCAGGAUUUAUGGGACAUGGAUAGGCCUUCUAGAAAGCCUUGCAAGGCAAGGAAAUCAGAUUUCUAGAAGCUAGGGUGCGGCACCAAUGUAGGGAUUAGGGAUAGGGCUUCUAGAAAGCCCCAAAACUGAUAGGAAAUGUAGGAAACUCACGGCAAGGAGGGGAACACUCUAGAAACUUCUCAUUUGUGUCCUACAACACUUAGGAGUCCUUCUAGCAUUAGGAAAACAUGUCUCAAUCCUCCCUUGACUUGGAAUUCUUCUCCUACUUCAUCUUGGAAACCUUUCCUUCAUGGACUUGGAAAUCUUCUUUGUUGCUGAAACUUGAUGCCAUUUGGAUUUAACUUUCCUACUUCGAGUAGGAAACCUUGUUUGAGUAGGAAUCUUCAUCUUCAAGGAAUCCUAAUUCAACUAGGAAACCCAUUUUGACUAGGAAUCCUAAUUCAACUAGGAUUCCAUCUUCACUUAGGCGCUUUCCUACUUCGACUAGGAAACCUUGUUCAAGUAGGAAACAUCAUCUUCAAAUCUUCAAUUUCGUCCAUCCUCUUGGCUCCAAGCAUAUGACAUCCAUUCCAAGCUCAACUUUGCUCCAAAAGGCUCCAAAAUGCAUCCUUUUUCAUAUUUUGCCCUCAGAACCUGAAAACACAUAAAACUAGCUUAAAAGACUACUUUACUAAGCAAAAACACUAUAAAUGUACAAGAACAAGCUAAACUAAGGCGCAUAAAUAUGCUCCUAUCACGUGGGACCUAGGGGAGCUUCAAAGGAGGUAUCGUCCGGCUGGAAGACGUUAAAACAAGUGCAUCUUGGGAGGCAACCCAUGCAAAUAAAGAAGAACUAGGAAACUCCGACAUCAUAACCAAAUUUGCAUUCUUAAACUCUACUCUUUCUUGCUUUUACUUUGCCAUGUUUGUCAUGUUUGUUAGUUGUGUCGUUUGCUUGCUUAUGUGUUAGUCUAUGUUUGAAACAUUGAGGACAAUGUUUGGUUUAAGUGUGGGGGGGGGGGGGGGAUAAACAAGUGUUUUUAUUGAAAAUUCAUCGGUUUUUAUCACCUAGCACCACUAGAGUUGUUUCUCACUGUUUUUAAGUGUUUUUAGUGUGUUUUUAAGUGUUUUAGUGUGUUUUGAAAGAAAAAUACGAAAAUUUGAAAAAAAAAUAAUAGAAAAAGUUUUGAAAAAACCAAAAAAGAGUCAUUUUAGAGUCGUUUUUGUGUGUUUGUGUCUUAGGGUACAUUCCAACACAAUGAUGAGGAGUUGGUUUUUAAUUACAUGACUGUUAAAGAAAAUUACAAACAUGGAUGGAAGUUUGAUAUGCUCUUUGGUUUAUGCUUGAUUCUAGUUGUCAUUUGCGAAUUCACAUGUAAUCACAAAGGAAAAAAAUCAGUUUUUGUAACAUGCUUGAAGGAAGGAACUCAAUCUAACAUUACAACCCUGAAAGAUUUGACCCUAAACUUUAUUUGGUGAGUUAUUAAUCUGUGAUUUCUUGUUUUCUAAAGUCGUUGUAUGGUCUCAUCAUUAUUUGCUUGGUUGCUACUUAGAAUUCGUUUUAUCACUUUAGUUCCAAAUAUUAGAACUCAUGCCCGUUUCAUUCAAAGCUUAAAAUUGAAUGCAUAGCAUAUAACAAGAUAAAGUUGUUUAGUAGUUACCACCAGAGCCAAAAAGCCUUCAUCCCAUGCAUUUGUUUUGUAGGUUUAACCCUUUUGAGCCUUAUUUAGCCAAUUUUCUUUGUUAGCCACAUUAUCCCUACCUAGCCUAGAAUAGGACUAUCCAUACCCUUGUUCUUAAAGUAUAGUGGAGCAUGACUUAGAGGGAAUUCCUUUUGAUCAAACAUAUUGCAGAAAUCAAGUGUGGGGGAAAGUUAUGUACAUGAGUAGAAAGAAAAGAAAAAAAACAAGAAAAAAAAUGUGAAAAAGAAAAAAAAAGUUGUGAAAUAAGUGAGAAUAAACUCACAAGUAUUGGUUGUUGAAGAAAGGGUCCAAAAAAGUUUGAAUAUGACCCUAAGUAUGUACGAAAUCCCCUUAGUGUUUCGAGUUAUUUGUUGCAUUCACGAGUAAAUUCUAAGUUGAUUUCAUUACUUUGCUUACUAUUGCUUUAAGAACCUUUGUUUAUCCUUACCUUUCUUUGUUAACCAAUACCCUUAGCCCCAUUACAACCCUUAGACUUUAAUCUUGGUUGUUGUGUGUUUCAAUAUGUGGAGUUUGGGAAUGGUAUGAGCAUAUGGUAUCCCUGGUUCUCGCGUCUAAAUAGUGGCAUUCCGUUCAUGAGAUCAUAUAUAUAUAUAUAUAUAUAUAUGCAUUAAUAAUUCCAGAAAGUGUCUUCUUUGAUUAUAACAUAUGUGAGUGCUAGUCUACAUGUUUACAUUAAUCUUCUCACAUAUACCUAAUAUAGGGAGUGUAGUCAGAAAAUCUGUGUGAAAAUAAAGAGUAUAUCGGGUGAGAAAUUGAGGGAAUUCUCUAAGGCAUGUUACUACAUUUAAAAUGUUGUUUUAAUUGAUUAUAUGCGAGCUAGUGAGUGGUGACUGUGAUUAAGUGUGUGCUCGAGGGUAAGGAUAACUAAAAUAUAUGGGAGUAGUGAUUUUUAACGUGUCAUGUUUCAUUGGAAAUCCCUGAGGUGAAUGUUGGAAGGUCUAGGUUAUGUUUUGUUUGUUUUGUUUUGCUUGAGGACUAGCAAAAGCUAAGUGUGGGGGAAUUUGAUAGGAGCAUAUUUAUGGGACUUAGUUAGUUUGUUUUCUUGCAUUUUCAUAGCUAGUUUCUACUUAUUAUAGUGUUUUAAGCUAUUUUCGUGUGUUUGUAGGUCCAAAUGACAAAGUUGGCAAGAAAAUGCAUUUUGGAGCAUUUUAGAGCAGUUUUGGGCUGGAAUGGAUAGCUUACAUAUGAAGCACUAGGAAUGGACGAAUUUGAAGUUCAAGAGAGGCUAAGAAUGUGCUAAAGAGUUGAAGAAUUUAAUUCAAGACAUUGAAGAUAAGGAAUCAGCUCAAAAAAAGGAGAUAUUAUCCAAAUUGCCUUAUCUUAUCCAAAACCAUAUCCAACCUUAUCUCAUCCAAACUAACCUUAUUUAUCUUCUCCUAUCCUAAUCCUAUCCUACCUUAAUUCCAGCUACAAGGGGGACUCCUUAUCACAUUAGAAUACCUAAUAUCUAAUUCUAGAAGCCCUGAAACAAUGCAAAUAACCUGAUCCUUUUUCCUUAGAAAUCUGACAAAUUUAAUCACUUCUAGAAGCUUUGUGCUGAAUUUCCUAGUCCUAUUCCUCUAGGAUUGUGUAAUCCUUCUCCUCCACUACUUUGCACAAAACACUAGCCUAUAAAUACAUAUUUUCUGCCACAAUUCAAAUGACAACCCUCUACCAUUAGAUCACCACACCAUCCACCACAAAUUCAUCCCAUUGUGUUACAGCUGUGAUGUGAAAAUUCUGUUGACACUCAAAUUAACCCUCUUUUUAUCAAUUGUAGCAAGUAUGUAAGUAGGAAUCGUUCUAGGCCGGGGAUUAGGAGGGAUUGCAAAAUCACUUGGACUUGACUCAAAAACGUAAAAACAAGUUUAAAACACUAACUAGACUCAAAGAAUGUAAAACUAAACUUUAAAACACUAAAACAAACCAAAAGACUCAAAACAGCAAAUAAACACUCAAAACUGCCUUAAAACCACUUUCUGGGCAGUUUUGGACACCACAAGUCCCCUACAUGAUUGCAUAAUAGAGAUACAAGCAAGAAUCAUUAAGUUCUAUGAAAACCAUAAGCAUUGACGAAGCACUUGUUACUAUGAUUGCAUGAAACUUAUGCCAAGAAUUUACUUAACACGAUUGUGAUCAACAACCUUUACUACUUGUGAAUAUAAGUUCAUAACGAUUAGGUGAAAUUCCCUUAUAUCCUAGCAUCAAAUUCAUGCAUGCAAACUAAGUGUCGACCCUCAAUUAACAUACAAGAAUAAGUUUUAAUUCACAUAGAUAAGCAAAUUGAAAUGACAACUUAUGAAACGCAAUUAAAAGUAAUCAAAUCAUAUAGCAAGCAUAAUCAUGGUUUCGAAUCCCCCCUAGCCAAGGGGGGUUUAGUUCCUCAUACUCGCAAAUAAACAAAGAUAGAAAACACCUAGAAACGCUCCACAAUCCAAGCUCCUUGAAUGGCAUGCACGGCUCCAAGUUGUCUUCCUUCUUCUCCUUGCAAACUCACGGCACACAAGGUAUGUUUGGGUGAAUGGUGUAGUGAAAAUAUGGUAGAGGAUGGUGACUAAAUGGUGCAGCAAAGGGUGGUAUUUAUAGGCUGAAAUUCGCAGCCCCUAUGUAGCAAAGGAAAAGGAUUUAAAAGCCUAAUUUGUAUAGGAUAAUAACACACAAUCCUUGAAGGAAAAGGCUAAGGCUUUUAGAAACCAAGGGGGAAAGGAAUAAUCAGGUUUCUAGGAGUCCUAGAAAGGUUUGGGGCGUCACUUUUGUAGGAGAAGGGAUAAGGCCUUAUAGAAAGGUUAUUUUGUGGCUGAUUUCUAGAAAAACAAGGGAUAAGGUGUGGCACCUUUGUAGGAAAGGAUUAGGUCUUCUAGAAAUCCCAUUUUAAGCAUCCUAAUCUAGUUAGAAGCCCUCCUAAGUGGCUGGAAUGUGGAUAAUUUAGGAUUAGGAUAAGAUAAGAUAGGAUAAGGUUUGUUUGGAUAAGAUAAGCUAAGAUAAGGUUAUGGAUGAGGUUUUGGAUAAGAUCCUUCUCUUGAGUUGAUUCUUUGGCUUUAAUUCUUCUUCUUCAUGUAGGAAUACUUGCUUGAGUAGGAAACUUCAUUCGUCUAGGAAUCCAUCUUCAAUUAGGACUCCUACAUUGAUUAGGAAUCCUUCUUUAUUUAGGAAUCCUUCAUUUAAGCCCUUUCCUACUUCAACUAGGAAACUUUGUAUCUUCAAUUCUUCAACUUCAAAACACAUUCCUAGCUUCAUCAAUCCUUCAAAUUCGUCCAUCCCUUGUGCUACAUAUGCAUGAACUCCAUUCUAGCCCAAUUUUGCUCCAAAAUGCUCCAAAUUGCUUCCUUUUGCUCACUUUGUCUCUAAAGCCCGAAAACACAUGAAAAUAGCUUAAAAGACUAAUUUAACUAAGAAAACACAACAUAAAUGCAUAAGAACUAACUAACUAAGGCGCAUAAAUAUGCUCCUAUCACUGUGCAAGGAAGGAGAAGAAUGAGCCACCUGGAGCCGUGCUUGCCAUUCAACAUUGGAUUGCUGAAGUGUUCUUAGGUGUUUUCUAUCUUUUAUUUUCAAUGUCAAAUUUAAGUUAUCUUUGUUUAAUUGUGAACAUGAGGAACUAAUUUCUUUUUAGUUAGAAGUGAAUUCGAAGCCAUGAUUAUAUGCUUUAUAUGAAUUGAUUACAUCCAAUUAUUGUUUCUUGAGUCUUGAAUGUGAUUUGCUUUAUAUGAAUUGAUUACAUCCAAUUAUAUGAAUUCGAAACCAAAAUUCUUCCAAAAGUGUGUUUGGAGUCCAAAUCUGCCCAGUUUGUGUUUUUAGGCAGAUUUGAGUGUUUUUAGCAUGUUUUGAGUCCUUUGAGUUUGUUUUAAGUUCUUUGAUUCUAGUGUAGUGUUUUUAACUUUGUUUAUAUGUUUUUAAGUCAGUUUAGAGGUUUUAGCAAGCCCUCAUAAUCCCCAGUUUAGAACGAUCCCUACUUGCAUUUAUACUACAAUUUAACAACAAGAGGGUUUAAUUUGUGUGUUAAGUUAAUAUUCGCAUCAAAUUUUUGGCGUCGUUGCCGGGGAUUAGCAAAGUUGCUAAUCCCCCGUUUCUUUUUCAUGUCUUUUGUUUAGUUACUGACUUUGUUUCUAUUUGUGUCUUUUGUUUUUACUUAUGAUAUUUGAUUUAGUUUUGUUUCCUUGAUUUCAGGUACUAGAGAAGUAAGACAUGGAUUUUGCUACCAUUCACCACAAUGCAAAGUGUCCUUACAUAUGGUGUGUCCUAUGGGCAAGGAUAUCCAACUCAUCAAUGUUCUCAAUUCGCUGCGAAUGAAGAUGCUUGGGGUUAUCAAGGCCAUAGCCAAUCAUGGGACAACAUGUUUUCCAACGCUUACAAUUCGGAUAGGAGAGAUUAUUUAGAUUACAUGUGGGGAGAACCUCAAUAGUUCCAACAAGAUGGGUAUUGGCAGUAAGAAGAGGAGUUCUAUUCCAGACCUAUGCAGCCACCACAACAAUCUACCCAAUUCAAUGCAGGUACGUCUUUGGAUAAUGAUAUGUUUAAUAAGUUACUCACCUCUUUAAACCAGGAAGUAGAAAAUGGAAACAAAGAGAUGCGGGUGAAUUGGAGAAGCAAAUUGGGCAGAUUAUGGAGUUUAUGGCACAAAUUCAAGAGCAAAGUGAACUCUUCAACUCAACUAUUGAAAAUUUGAAGGAAGAUUUUGAAAUCCAUGAUGCUAUCACUUUGGGAAGUGCAAUGGAGGUUGGAGGUGAACCCAAGACAUCCAAACCAAGCCAAAACAUGGAUGAACAACUGCUGCUCGAAGAAGAGGAGAAUAACAUGGCCACGGCAAGGGAAGAACCACCCUUGCCGCAGCCCCAUAUGCCCUCUAUGUCGUCCAUUACAACCAAGGUAAGCCUAAAUUCAAUUUGUCCUGACCCCGUUUCACCAAAUGUCCUUAUUCCUUGCAGGAUCAUGCAAUCCAAGGAAGAAGCGGGUGAGAAAGGCAUAUUUGAAACCUUUCCAAAGAAUCAAGAGUAAGAAGUGGAUGGGGAAUGUCUAGAAUUCAUCAAAGAAGAUACACUUGAGACAAAAAUUCCCAAAGAAGUUGGAUUUUAUGACACGGGACAAGUCAUAACUCACAAAACAUCAAAUCUGGCCAAGUCCCAUAUCCUUGCAACCUUCAAAGAUGUGGUGUUCGUAAUUGAGUUUGUGUUGGAGCAAGCAAGAAGCCAUCUUCUCUAGCUUCAAUUUUAUUAUAUACUAACUUGUUGAUUUUGAUGAUUCAGGCAGCUACACUAGAAUUUAAACCAUUGCCGGAUCUUGUCAAGUAUCACCAUCCAUUAAAGGGUCAAUUCCAUGCUAUGGGCCCUAUCCAAGUUUAGAAGGAAGUUUCGUCCAGUUGGAAGACUUGUUUAUGUAUGUUGAUUGAGGAUGCAUACUUAGUUUGCAUGCAUAAACUUGAUGCUAGAGCAUAAGGGAGUUUCACCUAAUCGUUAUGAACUUAUAUUCACAACUAGUGGAAGUCACUAGUCAUGAUUGUGUUAAGUAAAUCCUUGGCAUGAGUAUCAAGCUUUUCAUAGUUACGAAUGCCUCGUCAAUACUUAUGGUUUUCAAAUAACUGAAUGACCUUCGAUAUGUUUUCUAUCAUGCUUUUCAUAGUUAGGGGACUUGAGAAGGAUAAUUUGGUUGUGAUGCGUAUCCCGUCCAAUUCAAUGAAAUAAGGAAAAUCUUAGGGUUAAUUUAUGCUAUCACGGCUAACUUGGGGUGUUGUCAUUCGUGGUUUAAAGGAAUAAUAACUGGAAAUUGGUUUGUAUGCAUAUAUCAUGUGUGGAGAAGGACCCUCUAACUAGCCUUUCACCCUUUUCAAUUCAUCAAAUUCGUUUUAUUAAAGUGUUUUAUGCAAAGUUUCUGUUUUAAGUUUUAAAUUCGUCAAAAGAUCCAUUCAUUAAAUCAUGUUAGUUGAGUCAUAAUUUGUUUUCUUUUAGUCUUUUGAGUCAAGUUAAGUCUUAUUUUCGUCAAACUCACUUGUUAGGUCUAGAAUUGAGUCUUUUUCAUUGUUUGUUGCUGUUUUGAGUGUUUUAAGUCAGUUUUGAGUCUAUAAAGUCUAGUUGAGUGUUUCUAAGUCUAGUUUAUUAUUUUUGAGUUAUAUUUGAGUAGAUUAGCAGCCCUUCUAAUCCUCGGUCUAAAAUUAUCCCUACUUUCAUAUACUACAAUCAUAGGGCUUUCAUUUGAGUGUUAGAAUAUUUCACAUCAGAAGGUAGUUUGAAAUGCAAAACCAAAACCCAGAAAGAGAACCAGCUGAUGUGCAAAAAAAAAUCUGCAAUGCCCAAACCACCGCCUAGGCCACCCAAUCGUCCGCCUAGGCUGUCCAAGUAUUGCCUAGACAGCCUCGGUGUCCGCCUAAUCUCUUUGCUGAUUUUUACAACGUGUAGUGCUUACUGUUGGAAACAUGCCCUGAAAGUCAAUCUUUGGAAGAAACCUUUCAGGACAAAUGAAUCGAUGUAUGGAUGACUCUUAUACAUCAAAUGGCAAAGACACGAAUUAGGACUAUCUCAAUAAACGAUAUAUGUCCUAAAUAGUGUAUCCAUGGACAAUGGAUCGAUUGAAGAAGUAAUCUAAUGAUGUUAGACUACAGAGACCUUCUUCACAUAACCAUUAUGUCCAAAAGGUUCCUAGUCAUUGGAUUGUCGAAGGGAAACUGACAAUGCUUAGACCGGUACAUACUGUGUCCGCUUCAAAUGGAAGGUUGGAAAGUCUCAUCCCAUUCGUGUUGUGACACUAAGACAAGUAUGUAGGUGCUCAUUAAGAGAAUGAGUUCACUGAACACAAUCGAACGAGAGUACUUGCAUGGAGGUCUACUCACAUGUCAAGCAAGUAACUCUAAUGGUUGGAAUAAUGUAAGUAGUCCUUUGACCUGAGGCAUCGUCAUUGUCUUGUGACUAAGUACUUAAUCUUUGAUUAUGUCAAAUUCACCCCAUUCGCGGAUGUCCACGGCAUAAUUGGGGUUAAGCCACUUAGUCAUGAAGGCAAGUGAAUGCGCAACAAGGAAUCUCUAAUCCUCGAUUAGAGAGGAAGAAUACUCUAAGAUAUGAUUCGGGAAUCUUCAGCCGAAGUAUCGAGCGUAAUAAAGGAAAGCGUUCCUAUACGACUCAAUAGAAUCAUAUAAGAAGGAAUAAUCACAUUAGGGGUUUGACAUAAUAUAUCCAUACCCUAGUAAUGUGUGAUUGAGAGUAUUGUUUUUAGAGAAGGAUCGAAUUACAUUGUAAUUCCAACUGAAUAGGUUCUCCGAACAACUUCUACAUUAGCUUGGGUAGCUAUGACAUAUGGUUAGAUGUCACUCAUAGCUUGUGAGUUCUUCUAGAUGAUUAAAUGUAGUCAUCAAAGAAGAAAGGUGAAUUAAAAUGAAGUUUUAAUUCACUAAGUGAUUGGAUUAAAUAUAAUCAAUUGGAUUGAUGUCAAUCACCUCACUGCCUUGCUAAUUAGAACCUAAAAUGAUUGUACACCGAUACACACUUGUAGUGAGUAAUUAAUGGAUGAUGGAAAUAAUUAAUUGGAUUAAUUAAGUGUUGUGAUUAAUUUAGAAAGUCUAAAGAAAUCAUAAAAGCGAUAAAAGAUAGUUUUGGGCUUAAAGAAACGUUCAGGUUUAAUUAGGCCCAUUGGGCCUAAACCCAUUGGGCUUUUAUUCAAGCAUAGGAUGACUUGAAAUAAUAAAAGCCCAAAGCCCAAACCAAACACUAAAGGGCCGGCCACUUAAAGGGUUUGGGAGAGAUAUUUAGUCAAGUUGUUGACUAGGUUUCUUUUUGUGUAUAUAAGGAACUUUAUAGAGUUUUAAUCUUUAGGGUUUUUGUGUGUUUUUGAACAACAAAGAGGCAAAAGAAAAUAGCUCUCUAAAACCACAAAGGCCGGCCACCUAGAGGGUGAAUUUACUAACAAUCUUUCACCUUUUGGUUAUUCCUCUAUCCAUCUCACUACACUAGUGGGUGUGGAUCUUUAGAGGUCUUCUCCUUUGGAGACUAAAGGAGAACCUUGGAGCACUCUUACUAACAAAGUGGAGGAGGCAAGGAGGGAGGCUAGGCUCAAGGACUUCAAGGAACAAAGGGCUUGGAGGUGGUCCAUCCUUGGUCUCAAGUCUAGAUCAAGAGGUAUAAGACUAAACUUUCACCUUGUUCUUUACUAAAAUGUUUUGAUGCAUUAUAUAUAAACCUAUGAACCUUGAAGGGGAUUUGCAUGACUAUAGCUUUGAUAUUAUUUGAUAAAUUGCUUCCGUUGCUCAUGUAUAUAAAUUUUGAAUUGUAUAUGCAUGCUAGUCAUUUAGAAAUCCCAAGUGUUAAGCUCAUAAUUUUCCCUUCAAGUGGUAUCAGAGCCAAAGGUUUAUGUAUAAUGUGUCCUUUUGGAUUUUAUGCAUAUGCGUAUUAAUAUUAUGUAUGACAUAAUUAUUGCUUCAUUCAAAAUAUGUUUAUCUUUUGUUUUUCAAUAGUUGAAAAAUGUUAGUCAAUAGUUGAGAAAGAUAUGUAUGCAAAAGAUGUUUUGUAUGCAUGAAUGAAAAUUGAGUUUUGAACUAGUUAGACAUAUUAUUUCUUCAUUUAAAGUAUGUUUAUCUUUUGUUUUUCAAUGGUUGAAAAAUAUAAAUCAAGAGUUGAAAAAGAUUUGCAUGUAAAAAGGUUGUUUUGUAUGCAUGAAUGAAGAAUAAGUCAUGAACAAAAUUUUGGGGUUUUGUUCUUUGUGGUUGGCACGGUUUUGGGGAUUUUUUGGGCAUGUGUUUGUGUUUUAUUGUAAGACACUCACACAUCAUUUUAAAGCUAGAAAGGAGAAACCUUGUCACUUUAGUUUUUGGGUUUGAAAAAUCACCAAGAAUACACAAAUCUUGAAAAAGUGUUCAUGGUUUUGUUCUUGGUGUUCAUAGUUUGGUUUUGGGUGAAAAUGGUUUUAUUUGGUUUUCAUGCAUAGUUUUAUGGUUUUGGAUGAUGUUCUUACCAUCCAUAACCAUAUUAACUUAUAAAACCCUAGACUUGUCUAGGAGAUUUCCAUCACAUUUUUCAUUAAAGCCUUUUAAGCCAAAACCAAGUGACAUGCAAAUUUGGAUUUUUCUACCUUGCAUUGAAUUAAAGCAAGGUGGGUGAGACUUCCCAUCUCCCCUUAAUGUGGUCGGCCACCCUAGUGGAUUUAUCCACUUGGGGGGUCUUUUGUAAUUUGGAAAAAGAUAUUUUAUACUUUUGAGUAUUUACGGUUUGACCCCUAACUUUUUCUUAUUUGCAUUUAGGCCCCUACUAACUAGAAAGUUAAAAUAAUUGAUUUUAAUUUUGUUAGUUGUUUAAACUCAUAAUUCUAUUAUGCCCAUAUGCACUAAAUCUAAAUGUUCAUGUUGCAUUCCAUUUUGAUUAUUUAAUGUGAUUAAGUAGUUAGAAAAAGGGUGACUAUGGACUUAUGCCUUAAACGAUAAUUGAGCUAUGAGAUAAGGCGCUAAAAUCAAAUUGUUUGAACAUUGGGAAUGUGUUUUAAUUACUGUUUUUAAUGGACCUUGUCACAUUUGACAUUAAUCUAUCUCUCCCUCUUAGUAUGUGUAAUUUGUAGGAAUUUGUACAAAUCGGUUUGUAAUUCUUAUUAUUUCUUAAUCUCUUUUAGUUAGUUGAUUCCCUCUAGUGCUAGACUAGAGUUUCUUUAACUAUUGGUAAGGAGACAUAACUAAAAGAGGGUUUUGACAUGAGAUUAAAGAUUAAAUGGGUCCAAUGUCCUAAUUAGCAAUGAAUGAUUGUCUUUCAUUUCUAAUGGCUCAAUGAAAAUGUUUUAAUUGGAUUGAAAAGCACGUAAUUAAAUUGACACAACCUCCCCGAGUUUAUAUUCAACAAUGUUGGCUCGUUGUUGCAAUAACCUAAUAAGUCCAUGGUCAUCCAAGAGCCUAAGAUAACUAUAAAGUCCAAUUUCAAAGGAAUGCAAAAACCUUAGUAGUAGUAGUUACUUCCAAUAUUUGAAAAAUUAGUUUUUGAUAUUGAUUUGUUUUUCUUAAAACAAAUAGUGGGAGUAUCAUACGCUACUAAACUAUAAUGAAAACAAUUAGUAGUUAUAUAUAUCUCCAAUAUUUUGAAAAAUGUUUUGAUAUUGAUUUGUUUUAUGAAAACGAAUAGUGGGGAUAUCAUAUGCUACUAAUUUCAUUAAUUUUGGACUAGUAGUUGUAAUAGGACAUUAUUUAUUUGAAUAUGAUUAAAUAAAUAAAAUUGAUGAGACCUUAAAAUCCCUCAACCAACAUACAAUAUUAAGUUGAAAGCGUAAGAGUGCUUUGAACACUUUUUCGUGGCCUUCCACCGUGGUAGGCUCCACUCGUUUAUGACUUGUACAUCGCCUUCACCCUAUCAUGGGGGAGUGCAAAGUGCAUGCUUAUACUCAGGAGGAGUUUAUUUAAAACAUUUGAUGAGGUUAAGGUAGGCAACGAGUGUGGCCAACAUUGUAUCAUCGUGAGGUCACGCUUGAACCCCUAUCUAAACCGACAUGGUGGGAAAGAACUUAACUAAGAGAAAUAAUGCCAACAUCGUAUCAUCGUGAGGCAUUACUCUCUAGAGGCCAAAAAGAUGGGUAAUCACAAGAGGUUGUUGUGAAUGGGUAAUUGUACCCUCUCAUUAUUAUUUUUGCUAGCCAACAUCGUAUCAUCGUGAGGUGGGCUUGGUAAUAGUGAGCCUCCCAUAACCCGCUAGGAGCUUUCUUUGAAAACUCCCGGAUUCCAUCUUGAGGGAUAUGAAAUUUGCCAAAAAUGGUGGGUGGUGUCAUUUGGUUUAAAGACCCGAAUCGUUUGACUUAAUCAACGAUCAAACUAAUUAUUUUUUUUUAUGUAUUUAGAUAUGGUUGGAAGCACACUUGCGAAUAUACUCGACAAACAUUGCCUAGAGGGGCACAAUUUCCCAUCAUGGCAUCGUAAUGUCAAGAUUCUCCUAACAUUGGAGAAGAUUGUUGAUGCGUAAAAUAACUAAACACACAAAUUAAACCCUCUUGUUGACAAUUGUAGUAUGAAUAAGUAGGGAUCGUUCUAGACCGGGGAUUAGGAAGGAUUGCUAAACACUUGAAAACUGACUUAGAAACGUAAAAACAAAGUUUAAAACACUAGAUUAGACUCAAAGAAUGCAAAACUAAAGUUUAAAACACUAAAACAAACCAAAAACUCAAAACAGCAACCAAAAGACUCAAAACUGCCUUAAAAACACUUUAUGGACAGUUUUGAACACAAAGCACCAAAUUGGACGAAUUUGGGUUUUAAGUUGUACCAAAACACUUAAAAACAUAAACCAAAACACUUUCUAACUAAUCUAGGACUUCAAAAUAAAUGGGGAUUUGAUUUGGACGAAAAUAAACUAACAAAACAGAUUUGAAAACGAUUUUGGGGUUUUAAAUGGAUGAUGGAUUAGUUAGAGGCUCUUUCUCCACACAUGACAAGUAUGCAAACGACUCGAUUUCCAGUUAUUCCUUCAUUGAAUUAUGAAUGACAAUGCCCCAAAUUAACCGUGACAUCACUAGUUAAUUCUCAAGUUUUCCUUGUGUUAUUGGAUUGGAUGACAUCAUUCGACAACCCAAAGCAUUCCUCAAAAGUUCCCUACAUGACAUCAUAAUACAGAUACAAUCAAAGAUCAUUACGUUCAAUGAAAACUAUAAGCAUUGACAAAGCACUUGCAACUAUGACAUCAUGUCACUCAUGCUAGGAAUUGGACUUAACGCGAUCGUGACUAGCGACCUUCACUACAUAUGAAUAUAAGUGUGUGACGAUUAUGUGAAACAACCUUAUAUUCUAGCAUCAUAUUCAUGCAAGCCAAUUAAGUGUCGACCCCUAAUUAACAAACACAAAUAAGUUAUUACUUGCACAGUUAAACCAAUUGCAUUCACGAUUCAAGAACUCAUAACUGGAAUUUAUCAAAUCAAAUUGCACACAUAGUCAUGGCUUCGAAAUCACCCUUAACCAAAUAGGGUUUAGUUCCUCAUAAUCGCAACAUAAAGAUUAUUAAACUUAAACAUUGAAAACAAAAGAAAGAUUACACCUAGAAACGCUCCAACAAUCCAACGUCUUGAAUGUCAAGCACGUCCAAGGGUCUCCUUCUUUCUUCUUUGCUGCGACACAAGGGUGUUUGGUGAUGAUUUGUGGUGAAUUAUGGUGGUGGAUGGAUGUAGGUAGGUUAUGGUGAAGGGUGGAGUGCUUAGAAUGGUCAACAAGGGCCUUUAUUUAUAGGGGAAGGAAGGGCUACGAAUUUGAAGUGGUUUUAGGGAAGGAUUUAUGUAGGAAAAGGAAUGUGAUUUUGGGUCAGAAAAUAGGCAAGAAAGGUGCAGGAAUUAAAGAGAAAAGGAAAGGGAAAUUCGGCAGAAUGAUAGGAGCAUAUUUAUGCGCCUUAGUUAGCUAGUUCUUAUGCAUUUCCAUGGUGUUUUCUUAGUUAAAGUAGUCUUUUAAGCUAGUUUUAUGUGUUUUCAGGUUUUAAGGCCAAAGGAUGCAAGAAGAUGCAUUUGGAGCUUUUUGGAGCAAAAUUGGGCUUGGAAUGAUUAUCACAUAAUUGGAGCCAAGGUUUGGACGAAUUUGAAUACUUGAAGAUGAUGAUUCCUACUUGAACAAGGUUCCUAGUUGAAGUAGGAAAGUGCUUACAUGAAGGAGGAUUCCUAAUCGACGAAGGAUUCCUAAUCGACGAAGGAUUCCUAAUCAACGAAGGAUUCCUAAUUGAAGAUGAAUUCCUAAUCACAUGAGGAUUCCUAGAAGAACAAGGAUUCCUACUCCAACAAGGAUUCCUACUUGAAGUAGGAAAGUUAAGCCAAGGUUUCCUACUUUGGUUUGAUUUUUCCGAAUUGUCCCUAAACGUUUCAGCAAUUAUGAAGACUUUCUAGGCAUUCUAGGACACAAAACAAAAGCCUAGAACCCUUUUGAACCCUUGCCGCACCCCCCUUUGCAUUUCCUCUUCCCUAUUUCCUGUUUUUAUGCUUUAAAACACCUUCCUUUUGUGUUUUAAACCCUAGCCGAAUUUCCCUUGCCCUUUCCCUUAAUUUUCUGAUUUGUUUCCUUAAUUCUAGAAGCUUUAAACUUAAUUCCUGAUUACCUAAUUAGCCUAGGGUUUUUAAUUUCCUAAUCCCUUUAAAUAAACAUGUUUGUGCAGCCACAAACAUAGCCAUUCAUCCAGAAAAUAAUCCUUCACGCCAGAAACCAUUCUCCAUCUUCAACAGCACCUAUCCUUCACCAUUCACCAUAUUUUCUGACCAAAAACCACCCUAGCCGUCCCAUACACCUAUCCCAGCCAUAAACCCAUCGUUCUACACCAUUCAUAACCCCCCAAAACUCACCCAUUCGUGUGCAGCAGCAAGGAGAAAGAAGGAAGGACUCUUGGAUGCUUAAGCUUCAUCGUUGGUGCAUUCUAGGUGUAAUUCGUUUUAUGAUUUCAAUGUUUAAUUUCUUUUCCUUUCGUUUUGCUACGAACAUGAGUGGCUAAACCCCUAUUGGUUAGGGGUGAUUUCGAAGCCAUGACUAUGUGUGCAAUUUGAUUUGAUAAAUUCCAGUUAUGAGUUCUUGAAUCGUGAAUGCAAUUGGCUUAACUGUGAGAGUAAUAACUUAUUUGUGUUUGUUAAUUAGGGAUCGACACUUAAUUGGCUUGCAUGAAUAUGUUGCUAGAAUAUAAGGUUGUUUCACAUAAUCGUCACACACUUAUAUUCAUGUGUAGUAAAGGUCGCUAGUCACGAUCGCGUUAAGUCCAAUUCCUAGCAUGAGUGACAAGGAAAACUUGAGAAUUAACUAGUGAUGUCACGGUUAAUUUGGGGCAUUGUCAUUCAUAAUUCAACGAAGGAAUAACUGGAAAUCGAGUCGUUUGCAUACUUGUCAUGUGUGGAGAAAGAGCCUCUAACUAAUCCAUCAUCCAUUUAAAACCCCAAAAUCGUUUUCAAAUCUGUUUUUACUUUGCAAUCUGUUUUGUUAGUUUAUUUUCGUCCAAAUCAAAUCCCCAUUUAUUUUGAAGUCCUAGAUUAGUUAGAAAGUGUUUUGGUUUAUGUUUUUAAGUGUUUUGGUACAAGUUAAAGCCCAAAUUCGUCCAAUUUGGUGCUUUGUGUUCAAAACUGCCCAGAAAGUGUUUUUAAGGCAGUUUUGAGUCUUUUGGUUACUGUUUUGAGUUUUUGGUUUGUUUUAGUGUUUUAAACUUUAGUUUUGCAUUCUUUGAGUCUAAUCUAGUGUUUUAAACUUUGUUUUUACGUUUCUAAGUCAGUUUUCAAGUGUUUAGCAAUCCCUCCUAAUCCCCGGUCCAGAACGAUCCCUACUUACAUACUUUACUACAAUUGACAAAAAGAGGGUUUAAUUUGUGUGCUUAUAUAUUUUCGCAUCAAAUUUUUGGCGCCGUUGCCGGGGAUUAGCAACUUUGCUAAUCCCUUGGUUCUUUUCUUUUUGUUUAGUUUGUUUCUGUUUUAGUUUCUGACUUAGUUUUGUUUUCCUUGUUUUGUGUUACUUUUGAUAUUUGAUUUAGUUCUCUUUCUUUGAUUUUAGGUACUAGAGAAGUAAGACAUGGAUUUUGCUAGCAUUCAAGCUCAAUUAGCAAAUCUUACUUCUCAAUUGUCACAGAUUGCCGAAAGGAACACAAUGCAAAUUGUCCCUACAUUUGGUGCGUCUUAUAGGCAAGGAUACCAAGCCAAUCUAUAUCCACAAAGCGAUUGGAGUGAUUAUUCAAACUCUAUGUGGUGGGAAGCUCAACAAGUUCAACACAAAGCAUAUUGGCAGCCAUAUGAAGAGUUCUAUUCAAGACCUAUGCAGCCACCACAACCUCAUAUACAAUAUGCUCAAUCAAAUUUAGGUUCGUCAAUAGAUUAUAAUCAAAUUCUUUGUUGCAGGGCUCACAAAAUCAAGCCAAGGAGGAUCAACAAGGUGGAUAUUGGCAGCAAGAAGAGGAGUUCUAUCAUUGGCCAUAUGAACUAUCACAUCCAUCACAACAAUUUGCCCAAUUCAAUUCAGGUACGUCUUUGGAUAAUGAUGUGAAAAUUAACUUGACACACAAAUUAAACCCUAUGGAUGACAAUUGUAGUAUAUGAGCAAAUAGGGAUCGUUCUAAACCGGGGAUUAACUAGGGAUGCUAAUCAAUGUGAAACUGACUCAAGAACAUAAAAACAUAAUGUAGAACACUAAACUAGACUCAAUUAAUGCAAAACUAGAGUUUAAAACACUUAAGUCAACCAAAAACUCAAAACAGCAACUAAAAGACUCAAAACUGCCUUAAAACCACUUUCUGGGCAGUUUUGAGUACCUAACACUAAUUUGGACGAAUUGGACUAUAACUUGACUCAAAGCACUUAAAAACACAAACUAAAUUGAUUUCUAACUACUGUAACACUUUAAAAUCAAUGGGGGAAUGAUUUUGACGAUAAUUGAAACUUUAAAACUUAAACUUUGAAAACACGCUUAAAGCAAAACAGAUUAUGAUGAAAUAGAAUGGUGAGAAACUAGUUAGAGGGUUCCUUAUCCACACAUGAACAUAUGCAUACGAUUCAAUUUCCAAUUACUCUUUCAACAAACCAUGAAUGACAAUGCCCCAAAUUAACUAGAUUGCACCAAUUAAUUCUCAGAUUUCCCUAGAUUCAUUGAAUUGAAUGGAAUACGCAUUACAACCAAAUUAUUCUUAUCAAGGACCCUAACUAUGGAAUACGCAUGAUAGAGACACAUAUCAAAGAUCAUUAAGUUUAAUGGAAAUCAUAAGCAUUGACGAGGCAUUCAUAACUAUGGGAUACGCAUGUUACUCUUGCCUAGGAUUUACUUAACACAAUCGUGACUAGCGACUUUCACUACUUAUGAAUAUAAGUUAAUAACGAUUAGGUGAAAUUCCCUUAUAUCCUAGCAUCAAGUUUAUGCAUGCAAAUUAAGUGUCGACCCUCAACCCACAUACAUAAACAAGUUAUCAAUCAAAUAGAUAAGUAAACCACAUUCACGAAUUUAUGAAAUCAUAAUUGGAAGAAAUCAAAUCAUAUAAAACAUAUGUCCAUGGCUUCAAAUUCGCCUCUAACUAAAAAGAAAUUAGUUCCACAUGUUUAACAUAAUUGAAAAGCAAUUUAAAUUAAACAUGAAAACAGAAACAAAGAGAAGAAAAAAACUCUUAAAAACUCCCAAAGAUGCAGAUGACUUGCGCACAAGGCCCUCAUUCAUCAAUGGAAUGCACGACAAGGCUCUCCUUCUUCUCCAAAAGGUGCUGCAGAGAUGUGUAUGGAUGUAGGAUGGGGUUUUGUGAUGUAGAAUGGUGAUUAGGGUUGCGGCAAGGUGUGUUUGGAUGGUGUGAAGGGGUGGUGACGAAUUUAGGCUUAAAACACAUAUAUAUAUAGGCACCACAAACCCUAAAGAAAUCAGGUUAGACAAUGGGCUAGGGUUUAGGUGCGGCUAGGGUUAGAGAUGGGCCUUCUAGAAUGCCUUGCAAGGCAAGGAAAUAGGUGUUUCUAGAAGGCUAGGUGCGGCUGAUUAGUGGGCUAGGGUUAGGGUUUGUAGAUAGGGCUUCUAGAAAGCCCAAAACCAAGAAUAGAAACUCUCGAAAAAUGGAAACCUCUAAGAAUAGAAACUUCCAACUUUAGAAACUUUGGUUGCCAAUUCCGACUUCUUUGUUCUUCACUUUCAUUUCUUCAUUUCUUAAGCUCCUUUGACCUUCAAACUCGUCCAUUCCUUGUGCUCCAUAAGCAUACACUCCAUUCCAGCUCAAUUUUUGCUCUCAAAUGCUCCAAAUUGCAUCAUUUUAUGUAAUAUGCUCUUAAAACCUGAAAACACAUGAAACUAACUUAAAAGACUACUUUAAACUACGAAAACAUAACUAAAAUGCAUAAGAACUAGCUAACUAAGGCGCAUAAAUAUGCUCCUAUCAAAUUCCCCCACACUUAGCUUUUGCUAGUCCUCGAGCAGAAUAAAGAAUUAAAGAAAAACAAAACGAACAAAAACAAACAAAACACAACCUAAACCUUCCAACAUUUACCUCAGGGAUUUCCAAUACACAUGACAUGUUAAAAAUCAUCAUGCCCACAGAUUUUAGUCAUCUUUACACUUAAGCACACACUUAAUCAUAGUCACCACGUACUAGUUCACAUUUAACCAAUUAAAACAUGAUUUUGAAUGUAGUAACAUGCCUUAGAGAAUUUGCUCAAUUCCUUACUAGAUAUGCACUCAAUUUUCACACAGAUUUUCUGACUACACACCCUAUACUAGUUAUAUGUGAGAAGAUUGAUGUAAAUAUGAAAAAACGAAUGCUCACAUAUAUGUUAUAACAAGGAAAGCUUUCUCUGAAUUUAAUAAGCAUGUAUAUGAUCUCAUGAAAGGAAUGCUACUACUUAGACGCGAGAACCAGUGACACCAUAUGCUCAUACCAAUCCCAAACUCCACAAAUUGAAAUACACAACACUCAAGAUAGAAGUUAAGGGUUGUAACGGGGCUUGGGGUAUUGGCUAACAAAGAAAGGUGAAGGGUAAACAAACGUUCUUAAAACAAUAGUAAGCAAAGCAAUGAAAUUGACUCUUCGAAUUCACUUUUGAAUGCAAAAAUCAACUUUUAAACUCAAAGGGGAAAUUCAUGCAACACUUGGGGUCAAAUUCAAUGUUUUGGACCCCUUCUUCAACAACCAACACCUUAGAGCUCAUUUCCAUGCUCUUUCAACUCUUUUUCACACUUUUCAGCAUUUUUCUUUUUUUUUCUUCUUUUUUCUACCAAUUUUUCUUUCUUUUUUUUUUUUUUUUCUCGUGCCUCAAAAUAGACUUUGGCACAUCCACCUAACAAAAAUCACUUCCCCCACACUUGUUUUCUGCACACCCUCAAUCAAAAGGAAUUCAUUUUAAGUCAUGCUUACUAUGCUUCAAGAACAAGGGUAUGGAUGGUCCUAAUCUAGGCUAGGUAAGGAUAAUGUGGGUUAACAAACAAUAUAGGCUAAACAAGGCUCAACGGGUUUAAACCUACAAAAACAAAUGUAUGGAAUGAAGGCUUUUUGGCUAUGGUGGUAACUACUAAACAACUUUAUCUUGAAUAUGUGUUAUGCAAUUCAAUAACAUGUUUUGAAUGAAAUUGGCAUGAGUUCUAGCAUUUGGAACUAAAUGAUGAAACGCCUUCUAAGUAGUAACCAAGCAAAGAAUAAUGAGAUCAUGCAACGACUUUAGAAAACAAGAAUGCACAGAUUUUAACUCUCCAAAUAAAGUUUAGGCUCAAGUCUCUCAGGGUUGUAGCUUUAGUUUGAGUUUCUUCCUUCAAGCAUGUCACAAAAACUGAUUUUUUCCUUUUUGAUUACAUGUGAAUUCAUAAGUUAUAACUACAACUAAGCAUAAACCAAGAGUAAAUCAAACUUCCAUCCAUGUUUAUAACUCUCUUCAAUAGUCAUUCAAUUAAAAACCGAAUCCUCAUCAUUGUGUUGGAAGGUACCCUAAGACACAAACAAACACACAAAAACAACUUAAAAACGACUCUUUUUGGGUUUUUUUAAAAC
Molecule: long non-coding RNA, 33795 nt
Filed under: Malus domestica (apple)
Lineage: Eukaryota; Viridiplantae; Streptophyta; Magnoliopsida; Rosales; Rosaceae
Description: long non-coding RNA (MDOM_LNC019588)
Source: RNAcentral